GACGAACGCUGGCGGCGUGCUUAACACAUGCAAGUCGAACGGAAAGGCCCUGCUUUUGUGGGGUGCUCGAGUGGCGAACGGGUGAGUAACACGUGAGUAACCUGCCCUUGACUUUGGGAUAACUUCAGGAAACUGGGGCUAAUACCGGAUAGGAGCUCCUGCUGCAUGGUGGGGGUUGGAAAGUUUCGGCGGUUGGGGAUGGACUCGCGGCUUAUCAGCUUGUUGGUGGGGUAGUGGCUUACCAAGGCUUUGACGGGUAGCCGGCCUGAGAGGGUGACCGGCCACAUUGGGACUGAGAUACGGCCCAGACUCCUACGGGAGGCAGCAGUGGGGAAUAUUGCACAAUGGGCGGAAGCCUGAUGCAGCAACGCCGCGUGCGGGAUGAAGGCCUUCGGGUUGUAAACCGCUUUCGCCUGUGACGAAGCGUGAGUGACGGUAAUGGGUAAAGAAGCACCGGCUAACUACG
This 466-nucleotide ribosomal RNA is filed under the name uncultured bacterium. RNAcentral's name for it is "partial 16S ribosomal RNA". It matches the Rfam family "Bacterial small subunit ribosomal RNA", at positions 28 to 505 of the family's 1533-position model. The record is from RNAcentral.